AACGAACGCUGGCGGCAGGCCUAACACAUGCAAGUCGAGCGCCCCGCAAGGGGAGCGGCGGCCGGGUGAGUAACGCGUGGGAAUAUGCCCUUUGCUACGGAAUAGUCUCGGGAAACUGGGGGUAAUACCGUAUACGCCCUUUGGGGGAAAGAUUUAUCGGCGAAGGAUUAGCCCGCGUUGGAUUAGGUAGUUGGUGGGGUAAUGGCCUACCAAGCCGACGAUCCAUAGCUGGUUUGAGAGGAUGAUCAGCCACACUGGGACUGAGACACGGCCCAGACUCCUACGGGAGGCAGCAGUGGGGAAUCUUAGACAAUGGGGGCAACCCUGAUCUAGCCAUGCCGCGUGAGUGAUGAAGGCCUUAGGGUUGUAAAGCUCUUUCAGCUGGGAAGAUAAGGACGGUACCAGCAGAAGAAGCCCCGGCUAACUCCUG
Molecule: ribosomal RNA, 430 nt
Filed under: uncultured bacterium
Lineage: Bacteria
Description: partial 16S ribosomal RNA
Rfam family: Bacterial small subunit ribosomal RNA
Source: RNAcentral